CCUACGGGAGGCAGCAGUGAGGAAUAUUGGUCAAUGGACGAGAGUCUGAACCAGCCAAGUAGCGUGAAGGAUGACUGCCCUAUGGGUUGUAAACUUCUUUUAUAUGGGAAUAAAACGUUCCACGUGUGGGAUUUUGUAUGUACCAUAUGAAUAAGGAUCGGCUAACUCCGUGCCAGCAGCCGCGGUAAUACGGAGGAUCCGAGCGUUAUCCGGAUUUAUUGGGUUUAAAGGGAGCGUAGGUGGAUUGUUAAGUCAGUUGUGAAAGUUUGCGGCUCAACCGUAAAAUUGCAGUUGAAACUGGCAGUCUUGAGUACAGUAGAGGUGGGCGGAAGUCGUGGUGUAGCGGUGAAAUGCUUAGAGAUCACGAAGAACUCCGAUUGCGAAGGCAGUUCACUGGACUGCAACUGACACUGAGGCUCGAAAGUGUGGGUAUCAAACAGGAUUAGAUACCCUAGUAGUC
RNAcentral lists this ribosomal RNA (460 nucleotides) under uncultured bacterium. RNAcentral describes it as "partial 16S ribosomal RNA". It matches the Rfam family "Bacterial small subunit ribosomal RNA", at positions 338 to 795 of the family's 1533-position model. The record is from RNAcentral.